Long non-coding RNA from Girardinichthys multiradiatus, 270 nucleotides. RefSeq lists it as uncharacterized. Lineage: Eukaryota; Metazoa; Chordata; Actinopteri; Cyprinodontiformes; Goodeidae. The transcript is spliced from 2 exons. The record is from RefSeq and is a predicted model, not a curated record.
UCUCCUUCCAAGAUAGCAAAAGGCAUGUUGACUCCUGAUUGAGUGAGGUGAUUGUAACCGUUCUUCUCUAUAAAGGGGGAGGCAUCCUAAAGAAGUCUGGACAUGUCCAUCAACAGACCUUCUUCAAAAAGAAGAUAUGCUGGAAGUGGAUCUGGGGAACAUUGCAGAGUAGUUGAGAAAGGUAAGGAUAAGGACAGGCAUGCUGAAGAUGCCUGAACAUGCCUGAAGGAAGUGACGUGCUGGCAACCUCUCCUUCCAAGAUAGCGACAG